AACGAACGCUGGCGGCAGGCUUAACACAUGCAAGUCGAACGCCCCGCCAGGGGAGUGGCCGCCGGGUGAGUAACGCGUGGGAACAUACCCUUUUCUACGGAAUAGCUCUGGGAAACUGGAAUUAAUACCGUAUACGCCCUACGGGGGAAAGAUUUAUCGGGGAAGGAUUGGCCCGCGUUGGAUUAGCUAGUUGGUGGGGUAAAGGCCUACCAAGGCGACGAUCCAUAGCUGGGCUGAGAGGAUGAUCAGCCACAUUGGGACUGAGACACGGCCCAAACUCCUACGGGAGGCAGCAGUGGGGAAUAUUGGACAAUGGGCGCAAGCCUGAUCCAGCCAUGCCGCGUGAGUGAUGAAGGCCUUAGGGUUGUAAAGCUCUUUCACCGAUGAAGAUAAUGACGGUAGUCGGAGAAGAAGCCCCGGCUAACUUCGUG
Molecule: ribosomal RNA, 431 nt
Filed under: uncultured bacterium
Lineage: Bacteria
Description: partial 16S ribosomal RNA
Rfam family: Bacterial small subunit ribosomal RNA
Source: RNAcentral